Molecule: non-coding RNA, 77 nt
Filed under: unclassified sequences
Description: L20-Deltaproteobacteria ribosomal protein leader
Rfam family: L20-Deltaproteobacteria ribosomal protein leader
Source: RNAcentral
GGUUGUGAACUGUGGGGACAAUCUCCCCCUGCAGAUCCAGCCACGGCAGAUGCCGAAAAACUAUUUAUGAGAAGGAG